Cyprinus carpio carpio is the source of this 1074-nucleotide long non-coding RNA. Lineage: Eukaryota; Metazoa; Chordata; Actinopteri; Cypriniformes; Cyprinidae. The record is from Ensembl.
UGCUUCUCCUGGAAUCUGUACAGUGAAGCCAUCACGCUGCUGAACAAGACCAUAGAGAAACAGAGAGACGCAAGUGAGCUGUUCAUCAACAGAGGAGGUGUGGACUGAGAAAUAAAGAGGAACUACCAGGAAGCAGCAGACAAGUUUUCUGUUGCUAUAAGGUACAACCCUGGUGAAGUUCAUUACUAUGAGAAUCGAGCCAAAGCUUAUAGCAAAGUGGCCAAAAUGGAGGAGGCCAGGAUGGAUGCCAUCAGAGUCCUUAUCUUGGAGCCCACCAAUGAUCAGGGGUUGCCUUUGCUGUCAAGUCUGCUCCCAGGAUGCUCCUUGACAGAUAUUAUGUCCUGUGCCACUGCACACUCAGUCAAAACCCAGCUGACAGCAAAGAUUCAGGCUUUCAAACAAGCAGUCUCCAACUUGUCAAGGAUUGGCAGGAUGGCCCUUGCCAAGGAGGAGAGUCAGUCACAAACAUCCUCACAGAAGUUACAGGCUGACGAUGGUUCAGAGCAGAUAAUGAAGCCAUGCAUCACUUCAAGAGAGGUGCAAUGCAAGCUAGUCAAGAGAAAACAACAGGUAGACAUGUGCCAGAUCUACACAUAAAAUUGUUUGCUACUGGUGUUGUAAAUACUGACCAAUACAGUGAUAGAGAGCCACAUUACAACCCCAUCUCAUGAAAGUGCAUAUAAAAACCAUGAGUUUCUUUUUCUAUUUGGGGUGUGUGUGAUAUUAUAUGCAUGCCAAACACGUGAAUAUCAUAUGCACGCCAAAGUCAUUGAAGACAUGAGACAUGAUCAUUGAAAUUUUUGGAAUCAGUAAUAUAUUUUUUAUAAUAUAGUUUUUAUUUCCCAAGGUAGUGUUUAGCAGUUUAAAACUGAUAAUACAAAUUAUUAAUAUUUGAAAUGACUGUUGUAUAUUUUAAUCUUUAACCGUAAAGGCAAAGCACCAUUUUUCCAGUCUUCUUAGAAAAGCUAUUACCUCAUCCGGAAGAAAUUAUUUAAAAGUGCUAAUUUAGUACUACAGAAUUUUUUUUUAAAUAAUCUUAGCACAGUUUGAAAUGCCUUCACUUCUUGAAAGUGC